GCAUGGUCUUAGCUUGCUAAGGCUGAUGGCGACCGGCGCACGGGUGAGUAACACGUAUCCAACCUGCCGUCUACUCUUGGCCAGCCUUCUGAAAGGAAGAUUAAUCCAGGAUGGCAUCAUGAGUUCACAUGUCCGCAUGAUUAAAGGUAUUUUCCGGUAGACGAUGGGGAUGCGUUCCAUUAGAUAGUAGGCGGGGUAACGGCCCACCUAGUCAACGAUGGAUAGGGGUUCUGAGAGGAAGGUCCCCCACAUUGGAACUGAGACACGGUCCAAACUCCUACGGGAGGCAGCAGUGAGGAAUAUUGGUCAAUGGGCGAUGGCCUGAACCAGCCAAGUAGCGUGAAGGAUGACUGCCCUAUGGGUUGUAAACUUCUUUUAUAAAGGAAUAAAGUCGGGUAUGCAUACCCGUUUGCAUGUACUUUAUGAAUAAGGAUCGGCUAACUCCGUGCCAGCAGCCGCGGUAAUACGGAGGAUCCGAGCGUUAUCCGGAUUUAUUGGGUUUAAAGGGAGCGUAGAUGGAUGUUUAAGUCAGUUGUGAAAGUUUGCGGCUCAACCGUAAAAUUGCAGUUGAUACUGGAUGUCUUGAGUGCAGUUGAGGCAGGCGGAAUUCGUGGUGUAGCGGUGAGAUGCUUAGAUAUCACGAAGAACUCCGAUUGCGAAGGCAGCCUGCUAAGCUGCAACUG
Molecule: ribosomal RNA, 683 nt
Filed under: uncultured Bacteroidales bacterium
Lineage: Bacteria; Pseudomonadati; Bacteroidota; Bacteroidia; Bacteroidales
Description: bacterial SSU rRNA
Rfam family: Bacterial small subunit ribosomal RNA
Source: RNAcentral